This 1270-nucleotide ribosomal RNA is filed under the name metagenome. Its description in RNAcentral is "bacterial SSU rRNA". It matches the Rfam family "Bacterial small subunit ribosomal RNA", at positions 240 to 1520 of the family's 1533-position model. The record is from RNAcentral.
CUCAGCUAGUUGGUGAGGUAACGGCCCACCAAGGCGACGACGGGUAGCCGGCCUGAGAGGGUGACCGGCCACACUAGGACUGAGACACGGCCCAGACUCCUACGGGAGGCAGCAGUGGGGAAUAUUGCACAAUGGGCGCAAGCCUGAAGCAGCAACGCCGCGUGAGGGACGACGGCCUUCGGGUUGUAAACCUCUUUUAGUAGGGAAGAAGCGAAAGUGACGGUACCUGCAGAAAAAGCACCGGCUAACUACGUGCCAGCAGCCGCGGUAAUACGUAGGGUGCAAGCGUUAUCCGGAAUUAUUGGGCGUAAAGAGCUCGUAGGCGGUUUGUCGCGUCUGCUGUGAAAACUGGAGGCUCAACCUCCAGCCUGCAGUGGGUACGGGCAAACUAGAGUGCGGUAGGGGAGAUUGGAAUUCCUGGUGUAGCGGUGGAAUGCGCAGAUAUCAGGAGGAACACCGAUGGCGAAGGCAGAUCUCUGGGCCGUAACUGACGCUGAGGAGCGAAAGCAUGGGGAGCGAACAGGAUUAGAUACCCUGGUAGUCCAUGCCGUAAACGUUGGGAACUAGAUGUGGGGGCCAUUCCACGGCUUCCGUGUCGCAGCUAACGCAUUAAGUUCCCCGCCUGGGGAGUACGGCCGCAAGGCUAAAACUCAAAGGAAUUGACGGGGGCCCGCACAAGCGGCGGAGCAUGCGGAUUAAUUCGAUGCAACGCGAAGAACCUUACCAAGGCUUGACAUAUACGAGAACGCUGCAGAAAUGUAGAACUCUUUGGACACUCGUAUACAGGUGGUGCAUGGUUGUCGUCAGCUCGUGUCGUGAGAUGUUGGGUUAAGUCCCGCAACGAGCGCAACCCUCGUUCUAUGUUGCCAGCACGUAAUGGUGGGAACUCAUAGGAGACUGCCGGGGUCAACUCGGAGGAAGGUGGGGAUGACGUCAAAUCAUCAUGCCCCUUAUGUCUUGGGCUUCACGCAUGCUACAAUGGCCGGUACAAAGGGCUGCAAUACCGUAAGGUGGAGCGAAUCCCAAAAAGCCGGUCUCAGUUCGGAUUGAGGUCUGCAACUCGACCUCAUGAAGUCGGAGUCGCUAGUAAUCGUGGAUCAGCAACGCCACGGUGAAUACGUUCCCGGGCCUUGUACACACCGCCCGUCAAGUCAUGAAAGUCGGUAACACCCGAAGCCAGUGGCCCAACCGCAAGGAGGGAGCUGUCGAAGGUGGGAUCGGUGAUUAGGACUAAGUCGUAACAAGGUAGCCGUACCGGAAGGUGCGGCUG